UACGGAGGGUGCAAGCGUUGUCCGGAAUCACUGGGCGUAAAGGGCGCGUAGGCGGUAGCACAAGUCAGUUGUGAAAUCUCCGGGCUUAACUCGGAAAGGUCAACUGAUACUGUGCGACUAGAGUGCAGAAGGGGCAACUGGAAUUCUCGGUGUAGCGGUGAAAUGCGUAGAUAUCGAGAGGAACACCUGCGGCGAAGGCGGGUUGCUGCGCUGACACUGACGCUGAGGCGCGAAAGCCAGGGGAGCGAACGGG
This 253-nucleotide ribosomal RNA is filed under the name uncultured bacterium. RNAcentral's name for it is "partial 16S ribosomal RNA". It matches the Rfam family "Bacterial small subunit ribosomal RNA", at positions 524 to 776 of the family's 1533-position model. The record is from RNAcentral.